This 492-nucleotide ribosomal RNA is filed under the name uncultured bacterium. RNAcentral describes it as "partial 16S ribosomal RNA". It matches the Rfam family "Bacterial small subunit ribosomal RNA", at positions 28 to 507 of the family's 1533-position model. The record is from RNAcentral.
GAUGAACGCUAGCUAUAAGCUUAACACAUGCAAGUCGAGGGGAAACGGCAUUAUGUGCUUGCACAUUUUGGACGUCGACCGGCGCACGGGUGAGUAUCGCGUAUCCAACCUGCCCUUUACUUGGGGAUACCCCGUUGAAAGACGGCCUAAUACCCGAUGUAAUUCAUUGAUGGCAUCAGAUAUGAAUAAAAGAUUUAUCGGUAAAGGAUGGGGAUGCGUCUGAUUAGCUUGUUGGUGAGGUAACGGCUCACCAAGGCGACGAUCAGUAGGGGUUCUGAGAGGAAGGUCCCCCACAUUGGAACUGAGACACGGUCCAAACUCCUACGGGAGGCAGCAGUGAGGAAUAUUGGUCAAUGGGCGCAAGCCUGAACCAGCCAAGUAGCGUGCAGGAAGACGGCCCUAUGGGUUGUAAACUGCUUUUAUACGAGAAUAAUUUGAUGCACGUGUGCGUUAUUGCAUGUAUCGUAUGAAUAAGGACCGGCUAAUUCCGUG